Molecule: ribosomal RNA, 271 nt
Filed under: uncultured bacterium
Lineage: Bacteria
Description: partial 16S ribosomal RNA
Rfam family: Bacterial small subunit ribosomal RNA
Source: RNAcentral
UACGUAGGGUGCGAGCGUUAAUCGGAAUUACUGGGCGUAAAGCGUGCGCAGGCGGCUUUGCAAGACAGAUGUGAAAUCCCCGGGCUCAACCUGGGAACUGCAUUUGUGACUGCAAGGCUAGAGUACGGCAGAGGGGGAUGGAAUUCCGCGUGUAGCAGUGAAAUGCGUAGAUAUGCGGAGGAACACCAAUGGCGAAGGCAAUCCCCUGGGCCUGUACUGACGCUCAUGCACGAAAGCGUGGGGAGCAAACAGGAUUAGAAACCCCAGUAGU